GUUGCAUACCCGGAACUCUGCCACCUUACUUACCCCAUGCCAAGGGCAGCUGACUGACUUGGAGAGACAGCACCAGGGAGCUGUUUGUGCCCCAGGACUCAGCGUGAGAGUAAUUGAGGCUUCUUUUUUCUCCUGGCAUCACCCCGUGUGUUAAAUUAAUGCAAUGGCAGGGCUUACUCUUUUAUUACACAAGUUCACCUGGGCUCCAUCACAGCAGGAAGGGGCCUUCUCUGAGAGCCUGACCCAGGGGCGCUUACCAAGAGGGCAGAAGAAUAAGCUGCCUAAGUUCCACCAUGGCUGGAUCUCGGGAGCGCUGGUUCUCCUCCUGGCCCAUGCCGGGGCUAUGGACACAGACAGCCACUACAGUGCAUGCGCAGAUGCUCCUGAAAAAGGACUUCCGGCACUGCAGUGGAAGAAGCCAAGCAUGAUGGGAAAAGUGUGUCAGAACGAAGCAGAAGUAUUUCAGAGGGGAUUAGUGGCAAUGUGUCUUCUGUGGUAAUAAAG
Molecule: long non-coding RNA, 504 nt
Filed under: Cavia porcellus (domestic guinea pig)
Lineage: Eukaryota; Metazoa; Chordata; Mammalia; Rodentia; Caviidae
Description: lncRNA (ENSCPOG00000040731.1)
Source: RNAcentral